Molecule: ribosomal RNA, 822 nt
Filed under: uncultured dinoflagellate
Lineage: Eukaryota; Dinophyceae
Description: SSU rRNA
Rfam family: Eukaryotic small subunit ribosomal RNA
Source: RNAcentral
CAGGGCAUCCAUGUCUUGUAAUUGGAAUGAAUAGAAUCCAAACCCCUUUGUGAGUAUCAAUUGGAGGGCAAGUCUGGUGCCAGCAGCCGCGGUAAUUCCAGCUCCAAUAGCGUAUAUUAAAGUUGUCGCGGUUAAAAAGCUCGUAGUCGGAUUUCUGCUGAGGUUGAUUGGUCCGCCCUCUGGGCAGGUAUCUGGCUCAACCUUGGCAUUUUCCCAGAGAGCGUGUCUGCACUUGACUGUGUGGUGCGGGGCUUGGGACUUUUACUUUGAGGAAAUUAGAGUGUUUCAAGCAAGCAGUUGCUUUGAAUACAUUAGCAUGGAAUAACAAGAUACAACCUCGGUCCUAUCUUGUUGGUUUCUAGAGCUGAGGUAACGAUUAAUAGGGGUAGUUGGGGGCAUUUGUAUUUAAUUGUCAGAGGUGAAAUUCUUGGAUUUGUUAAAGACUGACUACUGCGAAAGCAUUUGCCAAGGAUGUUUUCAUUGAUCAAGAACGAAAGUUAGGGGAUCGAAGACGAUCAGAUACCGUCCUAGUCUUAACCAUAAACAAUGCCGACUAGAGAUUGAAGGUUGUUAUCAUCAUGACCCCUUCAGCACCUUAUGAGAAAUCAAAGUCUUUGGGUUCCGGGGGGAGUAUGGUCGCAAGGCUGAAACUUAAAGGAAUUGACGGAAGGGCACCACCAGGAGUGGAGCCUGCGGCUUAAUUUGACUCAACACGGGGAAACUUACCAGGUCCAGACAUAGUGAGGAUUGACAGAUUGAUAGCUCUUUCUUGACUCUGUGGGUGGUGGUGCAUGGCCGUUCUUAGUUGGUGGAGUGAUUUGU